RNAcentral lists this ribosomal RNA (537 nucleotides) under uncultured archaeon. Its description in RNAcentral is "bacterial SSU rRNA". It matches the Rfam family "Archaeal small subunit ribosomal RNA", at positions 463 to 999 of the family's 1478-position model. The record is from RNAcentral.
CGCCGCGGUAAUACCGGCAGUUCAAGUUGCAUCCAACUUUAUUGGGUCUAAAACAUCCGUAGCUUGUUUAUUAAGUCUCUUGUGAAAUCCUACGUCUCAAGCGUGGGGCUUGCAGGGGAUACUGAUAAGCUAGAGACCGGUAGACGUAAGGAGUACAAUCAAGGUAAUGGUUAAAUAUGUUAAUCUUGGUUGGACUAACAAUUAGCGAAGGCACCUUACGAGGACGGAUCUGACAGUGAGGGAUGAAGGCCAGGGGCGCAAAACGGAUUAGAUACCCGUGUAGUCCUGGCAGUAAACACUGUUCACUAAACAUCGGGCCCUCUUCGAGAGGAUUCGGUGCUGAAGGGAAGCUGUAGAGUGAACUACCUGGGAAGUAUAGUCGCAAGGUCGAAACUUAAAGGAAUUGGCGGGGAGACAUACAACGAGUGACGCGUGCGGUUUAAUUAGAUUCUACACCGUGAACCUCACCAGGAGCGACAGCAGGAUGAAGGUCAGUCUAAAGGGCUUACCUGACACGCUGAGAGGUGGUGCAUGGCC